GGCCCCUUGGUCAAGCGGUUAAGACACCGCCCUUUCACGGCGGUAUCACGGGUUCGAUUCCCGUAGGGGUCACCA
This 75-nucleotide transfer RNA is filed under the name Sporosarcina globispora. Its description in RNAcentral is "tRNA-Glu". It matches the Rfam family "tRNA". Rfam says of the family: Transfer RNA (tRNA) molecules are approximately 80 nucleotides in length. Their secondary structure includes four short double-helical elements and three loops (D, anti-codon, and T loops). RNAcentral also lists the same sequence under 1 other name. Lineage: Bacteria; Bacillati; Bacillota; Bacilli; Caryophanales; Caryophanaceae. The record is from RNAcentral.